GAGACCCCCCCAGACUACUGAAUCUGAAUCCUUAGAGUGGUCCAACCUUCCUCUUCAGGUGUCUACUAGAGGCAAGUGAGGCUUCUUAAGGAGUGGAGGAAAGUGGAUGUUUUCAAGUAUCUCUGCAGUUCCCAUUUCCAACCCCCAGCCUCUGGUAACCAGCAUUCUACUCUCUACUUCUG
Molecule: long non-coding RNA, 182 nt
Organism: Pan troglodytes (chimpanzee)
Lineage: Eukaryota; Metazoa; Chordata; Mammalia; Primates; Hominidae
Exons: 3
Source: RefSeq, a predicted model, not a curated record